RNAcentral lists this ribosomal RNA (497 nucleotides) under uncultured bacterium. RNAcentral's name for it is "partial 16S ribosomal RNA". It matches the Rfam family "Bacterial small subunit ribosomal RNA", at positions 28 to 507 of the family's 1533-position model. The record is from RNAcentral.
GAUGAACGCUGGCGGCGUGCCUAAUACAUGCAAGUCGAGCGAACAGACGAGGAGCUUGCUCCUCUGACGUUAGCGGCGGACGGGUGAGUAACACGUGGAUAACCUACCUAUAAGACUGGGAUAACUUCGGGAAACCGGAGCUAAUACCGGAUAAUAUAUUGAACCGCAUGGUUCAAUAGUGAAAGACGGUUUUGCUGUCACUUAUAGAUGGAUCCGCGCCGCAUUAGCUAGUUGGUAAGGUAACGGCUUACCAAGGCAACGAUGCGUAGCCGACCUGAGAGGGUGAUCGGCCACACUGGAACUGAGACACGGUCCAGACUCCUACGGGAGGCAGCAGUAGGGAAUCUUCGGCAAUGGGCGAAAGCCUGACGGAGCAACGCCGCGUGAGUGAAGAAGGUCUUCGGAUCGUAAAACUCUGUUAUUAGGGAAGAACAAAAGUGUAAGUAACUAUGCACGUCUUGACGGUACCUAAUCAGAAAGCCACGGCUAACUACGUG